CGGCGCCACGAGUGGCACCCGUAUUUAUUUGGCCUAAAGCGUCCGUAGCUGGUUUGAUAAAUCUUUUGUGAAAUUGUUAAGCUCAACUUAACAACGUGCAGGAGACACUAUCUUACUUGGAACCGGGAGGAGUCAGAGGUAUUUCUUGGGGAGCGGUAAAAUGCUAUAAUCCUUGAAAGACCACCUGUGGCGAAGGCGUCUGACUAGAACGGAUUCGACAGUGAGGGACGAAAGCCAGGGGAGCGAUCCGGAUUAGAUACCCGAGUAGUCC
This 271-nucleotide ribosomal RNA is filed under the name uncultured archaeon. Its description in RNAcentral is "partial 16S ribosomal RNA". It matches the Rfam family "Archaeal small subunit ribosomal RNA", at positions 477 to 747 of the family's 1478-position model. The record is from RNAcentral.